RNAcentral lists this ribosomal RNA (460 nucleotides) under uncultured bacterium. Its description in RNAcentral is "partial 16S ribosomal RNA". It matches the Rfam family "Bacterial small subunit ribosomal RNA", at positions 338 to 795 of the family's 1533-position model. The record is from RNAcentral.
CCUACGGGAGGCAGCAGUGAGGAAUAUUGGUCAAUGGACGAGAGUCUGAACCAGCCAAGUAGCGUGCAGGAUGACUGCCCUAUGGGUUGUAAACUUCUUUUAUACAGGAAUAAAACGAGUUACGUGUGCCUUUUUGCAUGUACUUUAUGAAUAAGGACCGGCUAAUUCCGUGCCAGCAGCCGCGGUAAUACGGAGGAUCCGAGCGUUAUCCGGAUUUAUUGGGUUUAAAGGGAGCGUAGAUGGGUUGUUAAGUCAGUUGUGAAAGUUUGCGGCUCAACCGUGAAAUUGCAACUGAUACUGGCAGGCUUGAGUACAGUUGAGGUAGGCGGAAUUCGUGGUGUAGCGGUGAAAUGCUUAGAUAUCACGAAGAACCCCGAUUGCGAAGGCAGCUUACUAAACUGUGACUGACGUUGAUGCUCGAAAGUGUGGGUAUCAAACAGGAUUAGAUACCCGUGUAGUC